Non-coding RNA from Podarcis lilfordi (Lilford's wall lizard), 75 nucleotides. NCBI's taxonomy places the organism in Eukaryota, Metazoa, Chordata, Lepidosauria, Squamata, Lacertidae. The record is from the annotation of a GenBank genome assembly.
UCUAGGAUAGUACAGUUGGUAGAGCAUGAGACUCUUAAUCUCAGGGUUGUGGGUUUAAGCCCCACCUUGGUAAAA